This is a non-coding RNA of Phoenix dactylifera (date palm), 1533 nucleotides long. The record is from RefSeq and is a predicted model, not a curated record. Lineage: Eukaryota; Viridiplantae; Streptophyta; Magnoliopsida; Arecales; Arecaceae.
AAAGGGUCAUGGUUAAUUAUUAGGGCAAGCCUAGUUCGCAUUUAUAUAGCUAGCCAUUGUAUCCUUUUCAAAAUCCAGUGGAUUGCCAAGACAUAAAUUUCACUGCAAGGAUUAUUUGAUGUUGCCAACUAGCCUCAUCCAGGAUUCAAACUUCAGUGGUAGCAUCCUAUCAUAUAUAUAUCGAAGGAGGUUCAUAUAUAGAUGUUGUUUACGGGCAAUUUUUUCUCCUUUUUUCUGUGUGUGUUUGGUGAUGGGAUUACAAGGGUCUCAACCCCAAACAUGCUUGCUUGUUGCAAAGUUGCAUUUGAACCUCACCCAAACACCAACCAAAACCUCAAUAUAUAAAAAGAAGAAACAACUGAUGAGAAACAAAUACUACGUGCACUUGAUCUCAGUCAAAAGGCCAGGAAAGAUAUAAAAGAAGAGAGGAAAGAUAUAAAAGAAGAAGAAGAAGCAAAUCUGGUGAGAGUUGGCCUAUUUUCACUUUAAUGAGCAGAUUGCCAGACACCUCUAAACAACUACUUAUUCUUUUUUCUAGAAAAAAGUAUAGAAUAAAUUCGAUCAAUAAAGUACGUCAUGUAAUGAUAUGAUGCUGUGACACCACCCCGCCCGGCCCCCCUCCGCCAACCAAAGAAACAAAAAGCCAACUCCAUUGCUGCUCUCACUACUUAAGGUCACCGUUUCUUUCCAUUUACCAAACUUACACGGCUUCACAAAAAGGCAGUAUAGCUGUAAAGCUUUUAGUUCCCUUCUGAACAGGAGAGCAUCAUUAUGGUUGAUCUACUGGAGUCAAGGGAGACUCUUACCAUGGUGAAAGGAUACUAUGGGCCCGUGAGAGGAAAGAAUCCAGCUGCCGUUAAAUCACUCACUUUUGGCACCAAUAGAGCUACAUACGGACCGUUUGGCAUUGAGGAGGGAACACCCUUUCGUUUCAAUAUUCCAUGCGGUGUUAGUUUUGGGGGGUUCCAUGGGCGUUCUGAUGAUCGUUAUCUUCGUGCAAUUGGCAUAUAUGUCAAGCCCAUUGCUGAUUUCCAUCUCGACCCAAGACCUUCGGAAGUUGAUUUUACAUGUAUGUCUGGUUCGGCGCGCUAGAAAGCUAUAGCUAGGUUUGGUCGAUCUUUUUUUCUCAUGCAUCGCAUUCCAUUGCCCUUCCUUAAUUAUGCCAAAGCAUUAAGCAUUAAUCUGCAGAUGCGACAAUAUUCAUGUUUGACUACCGCAUGUAAUUAAGCUUUCUUCCUUUUUCUCAUGUAUCGCAUACCAUUGCCUUUCCUUAAUUAUGCGAAAGCGUUAAGCAUUAAUCUGCCAAUGCGACAAUUUCAUGUUCGACUACCACAUGCAAGCUUACUUCCUGAAGUGAGUUAAUUGUAUCCCAUGAUAAAAGUCAUGGGCAUGAAUUUCCUUUUGAUGUAAUUAUUUUGGAAGCAUUUUACUACUUGCCAACUAUUGGAAUAUCUUAGGAUUCAUUUGGUUUGCAGAAAAAGGAGAAGGAAAAAUGUGGUCGGUAGAAAUAUGGAGAAAAGCCUCAUGUUCAAU